UACGGAGGAUGCGAGCGUUAUCCGGGUUUAUUGGGUUUAAAGGGUGCGCAGGCGGAUUUUUAAGUCAGCGGUCAAAUCGUGGGGCUCAACCCCAUCCAGCCGUUGAAACUGGGGAUCUAGAGUGUGCGAGAGGUAUGCGGAAUGCGUGGUGUAGCGGUGAAAUGCAUAGAUAUCACGCAGAACCCCGAUUGCGAAGGCAGCAUACCGGUGCACAACUGACGCUCAGGCACGAAAGCGUGGGUAUCGAACAGG
This 252-nucleotide ribosomal RNA is filed under the name uncultured bacterium. RNAcentral's name for it is "partial 16S ribosomal RNA". It matches the Rfam family "Bacterial small subunit ribosomal RNA", at positions 524 to 776 of the family's 1533-position model. The record is from RNAcentral.